GCUCCUACGGGAGGCAGCAGUGGGGAAUAUUGCACAAUGGGGGAAACCCUGAUGCAGCGACGCCGCGUGAGUGAAGAAGUAUUUCGGUACGUAAAGCCCUAUCAGCAGGGAAGAAAAAAAGUCCUUUGGACUUUGGACGGUACCUGACCAAGAAGCCCCGGCUAACUACGUGCAGCAGCCGCGGUAAUACGUAGGGGGCAAGCGUUAUCCGGAUUUACUGGGUGUAAAGGGUGCGUAGGUGGCAGGGCAAGUCAGAUGUGAAAGCCCGGGGCCCAACCCCGGUACUGCAUUUGAAACUGUCCGGC
This 305-nucleotide ribosomal RNA is filed under the name uncultured bacterium. RNAcentral's name for it is "bacterial SSU rRNA". It matches the Rfam family "Bacterial small subunit ribosomal RNA", at positions 335 to 641 of the family's 1533-position model. The record is from RNAcentral.